Molecule: ribosomal RNA, 467 nt
Filed under: uncultured bacterium
Lineage: Bacteria
Description: partial 16S ribosomal RNA
Rfam family: Bacterial small subunit ribosomal RNA
Source: RNAcentral
GACGAACGCUGGCGGCGUGCUUAACACAUGCAAGUCGAACGGAAAGGCCCUGCUUUUGUGGGGUGCUCGAGUGGCGAACGGGUGAGUAACACGUGAGUAACCUGCCCUUGACUUUGGGAUAACUUCAGGAAACUGGGGCUAAUACCGGAUAGGAGCUCCUGCUGCAUGGUGGGGGUUGGAAAGUUUCGGCGGUUGGGGAUGGACUCGCGGCCUAUCAGCUUGUUGGUGGGGUAGUGGCUUACCAAGGCUGUGACGGGUAGCCGGCCUGAGAGGGUGACCGGCCACAUGGGGACAGAGAUACGGCCCAGACGCCUACGGGAGGCAGCAGUGGGGAAUAUUGCACAGUGGGCGGAAGCGUGCUGCAGCAGCGCCGCGUGCGGGAUGACGGCCUUCGGGUUGUAAACCGCUUUCGCCUGUGACGAAGCGUGAGUGACGGUAAUGGGUAAAGAAGCACCGGCUAACUACGU